Molecule: ribosomal RNA, 1062 nt
Filed under: Staphylococcus pseudintermedius
Lineage: Bacteria; Bacillati; Bacillota; Bacilli; Caryophanales; Staphylococcaceae
Description: partial 23S ribosomal RNA
Rfam family: Bacterial large subunit ribosomal RNA
Source: RNAcentral
UAAGGCUAAAUACUCUCUAGUGACCGAUAGUGAACCAGUACCGUGAGGGAAAGGUGAAAAGUACCCCGGAAGGGGAGUGAAAGAGAACUUGAAACCGUGUGCUUACAAGUAGUCAGAGCCCGUUAAUGGGUGAUGGCGUGCCUUUUGUAGAAUGAACCGGCGAGUUACGAUCUGAUGCAAGGUUAAGCAGAAAAUGUGGAGCCGUAGCGAAAGCGAGUCUGAAUAGGGCGAAUGAGUAUUUGGUCGUAGACCCGAAACCAGGUGAUCUACCCUUGGUCAGGUUGAAGUUCAGGUAACACUGAAUGGAGGACCGAACCGACUUACGUUGAAAAGUGAGCGGAUGAACUGAGGGUAGCGGAGAAAUUCCAAUCGAACUUGGAGAUAGCUGGUUCUCUCCGAAAUAGCUUUAGGGCUAGCCUCAAGUGAUGAUUAUUGGAGGUAGAGCACUGUUUGGACGAGGGGCCCCUCUCGGGUUACCGAAUUCAGACAAACUCCGAAUGCCAAAUAAUUUAACUUGGGAGUCAGAAUGUGGGUGAUAAGGUCCAUAUUCGAAAGGGAAACAGCCCAGACCACCAGCUAAGGUCCCAAAAUAUAUGUUAAGUGGAAAAGGAUGUGGCGUUGCCCAGACAACUAGGAUGUUGGCUUAGAAGCAGCCAUCAUUUAAAGAGUGCGUAAUAGCUCACUAGUCGAGUGACACUGCGCCGAAAAUGUACCGGGGCUAAACAUAUUACCGAAGCUGUGGAUUGUCCUUUGGACAAUGGUAGGAGAGCGUUCUAAGGGCGUUGAAGCAUGAUCGCAAGGACAUGUGGAGCGCUUAGAAGUGAGAAUGCCGGUGUGAGUAGCGAAAGACGGGUGAGAAUCCCGUCCACCGAUUGACUAAGGUUUCCAGAGGAAGGCUCGUCCGCUCUGGGUUAGUCGGGUCCUAAGCUGAGGCCGACAGGCGUAGGCGAUGGAUAACAGGUUGAUAUUCCUGUACCACCAUUAUUCGUUUUAAGCGAUGGGGGGACGCAGUAGGAUAGGCGAAGCGUGCUGUUGGAGUGCACGUCCAAGCAGUGAGAUUGA